RNA transcript from Phyllostomus discolor (pale spear-nosed bat), 1683 nucleotides. It is a transcript of the gene named DnaJ heat shock protein family (Hsp40) member C5, with no coding region annotated. The transcript has 6 exons. Lineage: Eukaryota; Metazoa; Chordata; Mammalia; Chiroptera; Phyllostomidae. The record is from RefSeq and is a predicted model, not a curated record.
CCGCCGCCACUUCUGCCCGGGGUCUCCGAGGCGCUGCCUGGCUGAGGAGCGUCGGCCGGCUGCCCACGAGCAUCGCGCAGCGGAGCCGCGGAGCCGGCGGGCGGGCGGGCGGGCAGGCGCGCGGACAGACUCGCCGACCAUGGCCGACCAGCGCCAGCGCUCGCUCUCGACCUCUGGGGAGUCGCUGUACCAUGUGCUCGGGCUGGACAAGAACGCCACCUCGGACGACAUCAAGAAGUCCUACCGGAAGCUGGCCCUGAAGUACCACCCCGACAAGAACCCCGACAACCCCGAGGCCGCGGACAAGUUCAAGGAGAUCAACAACGCGCACGCCAUCCUGGCGGACGCCACCAAGCGCAGCAUCUACGACAAGUACGGCUCGCUGGGGCUCUACGUGGCCGAGCAGUUCGGGGAGGAGAACGUGAACACCUACUUCGUGCUGUCCAGUUGGUGGGCCAAGGCCCUGUUCGCCGUCUGCGGGAUCCUCACCUGCUGCUACUGCUGCUGCUGCCUGUGCUGCUGCUUCAACUGCUGCUGCGGGAAGUGCAAGCCCAAGGCGCCCGAGGGCGAGGAGACCGAGUUCUACGUGUCCCCCGAGGACCUGGAAGCGCAGCUGCAGUCGGACGAACGGGGCAGGCACUGACACGGUGCCCGGAUGUGUGUGUGGCGGCCGGGCCCGUUGGGGACGUGGACUCGGAGAGGCCACAGACACGCCGAUUGUCAUACAGCCAGCGUCCGCCACGGAGACCACCCAGCUCACGGCCGACUCCCACCCCAGCUACCACACCGACGGGUUCAACUAAGGGCAGAGCAGCUGGGACUGGCGGAUCAAUCAGCAGCGGCCCCUGCGACCCCAGAAUCAUGAACUGUAGUCAGGGAGGCGGGGCGGGGGCCGCUCUGGCCGCAGGGAAGGGGCCCCUCCCGCCCGCGCGCCGCCCCCCGCCCCGGGAAGUUCGUAGCAUGCGGUAUUUGAAGCAGUGUAGCUACGGUCGCUGUCCCCCGUCCCUCCUCCUCCAGUCGCAUGUGUGGGCUUCUGCUCCGUGUCUGUCUGUGUUGUGGCCGCGCGGCGAGGCGUCCCCCGUGCUCCGGGCACGGCCGGGGUGGGUGCUGCUGCAGGGCUGUGGCGUCUGGUCCAGCGGGGCAGCCACAGGCGGGGCCCCCGGGCCAGCCCGCCGGCCAGGGGCUGAACGGGUCCUCCAUGCGCUGUCUCGCCCCGUGGUGCUGGGGACCGGGACAGUGUGUGCGGGUCCCCUCCACUCCGUGGGCUUGGCCUUGCGGUGGGGCUUCUCCCGAGUGCGUGUGUGCCGCGCGGACUGCAGGGGCCCCCGGCCCUGAGACCCCCUUCCCUGCCUGUGUCUGGCUCGAGCCCCCCGCUCCACCAGUGCGCCCCUCAGCCCAGGAGCUGGGUCGGCGGCCACGCCCGGGCGGCCUCCCCUCUCCCUUCCCUGCGUUGCCGUCCACACUCCCCUGGGCCCUGCGCCCUGCGCCCCACCGUGGCCCCGCUAGUCCUAGUCGGGCUGAGAGUCCAGGCUCCGGCGGCGCCUGGCUGCCCAGCCUGCUCUCUGCUCCCAGAGCCUCGCUCAGCCCUUCCCCUGCUGCUCCCCGGCCAGAGCCAGAGGUGCCCGGGCCCUGGGGAGGGGCCCGCUGGACCAAAGGCCGGCUCUGGCCUGGGAGCCCCGAGGC